UUGUGACGAUGUUGAGUCCUCAGGAUGGAACUAACUCUCACCCUUUGUCCUGCAGCUGAGGCUCACUGCCCUCCCCCCGGUGGGCAGUGAGUCAGUGGGUU
RNAcentral lists this long non-coding RNA (101 nucleotides) under Sus scrofa (pig). RNAcentral's name for it is "Maternally expressed 8 exon 1 (ENSSSCG00070010510.1)". It matches the Rfam family "Maternally expressed 8 exon 1". The record is from RNAcentral. Lineage: Eukaryota; Metazoa; Chordata; Mammalia; Artiodactyla; Suidae.